CGCAUCUGUGCAUGCAGCAUAUCAAUAAGCGGAGGAAAAGAAACUAACAAGGAUUCCCCUAGUAACGGCGAGUGAAGCGGGAAGAGCUCAAAUUUGAAAUCUUAAAGGGUUUCCCUUUACGAAUUGUAGUUUAAAGAAGUGUUUUCUGUUGAGGUUUUGGUAAAAGUUCUUUGGAAUAGGACAUCAUAGAGGGUGAGAAUCCCGUAUUUGACCUUUACUUUCAACUUUGUGAUACACUUUCAAAGAGUCGGAUUGUUUGGGAAUGCAGUCCAAAAUGGGUGGUAAAUUUCAUUCUAAAGCUAAAUAUUGGCGAGAGACCGAUAGCGAACAAGUACCGUGAGGGAAAGAUGAAAAGAACUUUGAAAAGAGAGUUAAACAGUACGUGAAAUUGUCAAAAGGGAAGCGUUUGACACCAGUGUUGUUUUUCUGAAAAUCAAUUAAAGAACUGUUUAUGCUAAGCUGUUUAGACUUUAUCAGCUAUCUGUUUAGUUUUGAGCUUUUCUUUAAUGCACUUUUCAGUUAGCAAGUCAACAUCAAUUUCUUUUGCUGUAAAAAAGCUUGAGGAAGGUGGCUUGAGAUUCGUCUUAAGUGUUUAUAGCCUCUUGCCUAUGCAGUCGGAGAGAUUGAGGUCUGCAGCGUAGAUCCUUCGGGGCUAAAUGCAUUUGUGCUAAGUUAUAGCAUUUUAUAGACAACUUGUUGACUAUGAUUUGUCUUGUAGCUUACUCGCUUAUGUUAUUUUACCUACGCUUAGGAUGUUGACAGCAGUAUAGACUGU
Molecule: ribosomal RNA, 775 nt
Filed under: uncultured Neocallimastigales
Lineage: Eukaryota; Fungi; Neocallimastigomycota; Neocallimastigomycetes; Neocallimastigales
Description: partial large subunit ribosomal RNA
Rfam family: Eukaryotic large subunit ribosomal RNA
Source: RNAcentral